Molecule: ribosomal RNA, 190 nt
Filed under: Actinomycetota bacterium
Lineage: Bacteria; Bacillati; Actinomycetota
Description: partial 23S ribosomal RNA
Rfam family: Bacterial large subunit ribosomal RNA
Source: RNAcentral
CGCCCGGUAGCGAUGUCGCGCGGAGAUAACCGCUGAAAGCAUCUAAGUGGGAAACUCUUCCCAAGAUGAACACUCCUGGACCUUAAGGUCCCUGAAGGGCCCUGGGAGACUACCAGGUUGAUAGGCCUCAGAUGUACGGCGCGCAAGCGCUUUAGUCGAGCGGUACUAAUCGCCCGUGAAGUUUGAUCUC